RNAcentral lists this ribosomal RNA (1280 nucleotides) under Bifidobacterium animalis subsp. animalis. RNAcentral describes it as "bacterial SSU rRNA". It matches the Rfam family "Bacterial small subunit ribosomal RNA", at positions 187 to 1465 of the family's 1533-position model. Lineage: Bacteria; Bacillati; Actinomycetota; Actinomycetes; Bifidobacteriales; Bifidobacteriaceae. The record is from RNAcentral.
CGCAUGGUGGGGUGGGAAAUGCUUUUUGCGGCAUGGGAUGGGGUCGCGUCCUAUCAGCUUGUUGGCGGGGUGAUGGCCCACCAAGGCGUUGACGGGUAGCCGGCCUGAGAGGGUGACCGGCCACAUUGGGACUGAGAUACGGCCCAGACUCCUACGGGAGGCAGCAGUGGGGAAUAUUGCACAAUGGGCGCAAGCCUGAUGCAGCGACGCCGCGUGCGGGAUGGAGGCCUUCGGUUGUAAACCGCUUUUGUUCAAGGGCAAGGCACGGCUUCGGGCCGUGUUGAGUGGAUUGUUCGAAUAAGCACCGGCUAACUACGUGCCAGCAGCCGCGGUAAUACGUGGGUGCGAGCGUUAUCCGGAUUUAUUGGGCGUAAAGGGCUCGUAGGCGGUUCGUCGCGUCCGGUGUGAAAGUCCAUCGCCUAACGGUGGAUCUGCGCCGGGUACGGGCGGGCUGGAGUGCGGUAGGGGAGACUGGAAUUCCCGAGUGUAACGGUGGAAUGUGUAGAUAUCGGGAAGAACACCAAUGGCGAAGGCAGGUCUCUGGGCCGUUACUGACGCUGAGGAGCGAAAGCGUGGGGAGCGAACAGGAUUAGAUACCCUGGUAGUCCACGCCGUAAACGGUGGAUGCUGGAUGUGGGGCCCUUUCCACGGGUCCUGUGUCGGAGCCAACGCGUUAAGCAUCCCGCCUGGGGAGUACGGCCGCAAGGCUAAAACUCAAAGAAAUUGACGGGGGCCCGCACAAGCGGCGGAGCAUGCGGAUUAAUUCGAUGCAACGCGAAGAACCUUACCUGGGCUUGACAUGUGCCGGAUCGCCCCGGAAACGGGGUUUCCCUUCGGGGCCGGUUCACAGGUGGUGCAUGGUCGUCGUCAGCUCGUGUCGUGAGAUGUUGGGUUAAGUCCCGCAACGAGCGCAACCCUCGCCGCAUGUUGCCAGCGGGUUAUGCCGGGAACUCAUGUGGGACCGCCGGGGUCAACUCGGAGGAAGGUGGGGAUGACGUCAGAUCAUCAUGCCCCUUACGUCCAGGGCUUCACGCAUGCUACAAUGGCCGGUACAACGCGAUGCGACACGGUGACGUGGGGCGGAUCGCUGAAAACCGGUCUCAGUUCGGAUCGCAGUCUGCAACUCGACUGCGUGAAGGCGGAGUCGCUAGUAAUCGCGGAUCAGCAACGCCGCGGUGAAUGCGUUCCCGGGCCUUGUACACACCGCCCGUCAAGUCAUGAAAGUGGGUAGCACCCGAAGCCGGUGGCCCGACCCUCGUGGGGGGAGCCGUCUAAGGUGA